This is a small nuclear RNA of Penaeus monodon (black tiger shrimp), 103 nucleotides long. Lineage: Eukaryota; Metazoa; Arthropoda; Malacostraca; Decapoda; Penaeidae. The record is from RefSeq and is a predicted model, not a curated record.
UUGCUUUGGUAGUACUUAUACUAAAAUUAGAACGAUCUAGAGAAGAUCAGCAUGGCCCCAGCGCAAGGAUGACACGCGAAAUCGUGACGUGUUCAGACUAUCA